Ornithorhynchus anatinus (platypus) is the source of this 138-nucleotide small nucleolar RNA. Lineage: Eukaryota; Metazoa; Chordata; Mammalia; Monotremata; Ornithorhynchidae. The record is from RefSeq and is a predicted model, not a curated record.
CCCCUCUCGGGGUCACACCUGGAGAGUUUCUAGGACUCUACCAGUCACGACUACAGGAGGGCGAGUCCAGCAGAAGCAUUCCCAUUCCACUCCUAGACUGGGCAGUGGCUAGUGAGUGGAAGGCCAUCUGCUACAAGU